Non-coding RNA from Phascolarctos cinereus (koala), 1900 nucleotides. Lineage: Eukaryota; Metazoa; Chordata; Mammalia; Diprotodontia; Phascolarctidae. The record is from RefSeq and is a predicted model, not a curated record.
GCACAAAUAGCGGCAGCCCCAGUGACCAGCCUUGGAGGUGGCUGCAACAGUGACAGUAGCAGCUUUGGAGGCUCUCAGCCCAGACGAGGGUCCAGGUCUAGUGGUGGCUGAAGUUUCCUGAGUCACAAGGGAAGUGACAAGGUUGGACUUGUGUCUGAGGAAUGUCGAUUUGGCUGUUGGAUAGAGGACAGAUUGGACAGGGAAGGAGAUUAUCCCCAUUUUACAGAUGAGGAUAAUCAAGCCCUAAAGAGGAUGACUGCAGAUACCUUGCCCACGGUCACUUAACUCAUGAGGGUCAGAGGCCGGAUUCCUACCCAAGCCUUCCCGACUCCAGGUCCAGGUCCAGCACUGUGCCUGCCUUGUAGUGAGGAGGAGGAGGAGGAGGAGAGGAGGACGAGGAGGAGGAAUGUUUCAAGCAAGCGAUGGGGAAGAAACAGUUUGUGCAAAGGCAUGGAGAUGGGAAACUGAAUCUCAAGCCUGAAAAAUGUUACACAAUGACUGGGUCUAUUUCUCAGACCUGUUUCCCAGAGUCCUCCUUAUUGCAAAGCCCUCAAGGCUAAGUUUUUGCUUGCCCUUUUGUGUGAGAUCUCUUGACUGACACUGGGGUGGAAAAUUUUCCAUGAACCUCCAUCUAAAAUCUUCCUUUAUUUAAUUUCAUCUUAAUUGCCUCAAUUAGGUUCCUUUAAUAUUUGCUUAACAGACUCUUACUUAGUCCUUUCAGUUCUUAACAACAGCUGCCAAAUGGAGUCUUUGUUCAGGGUUCCUUUCCUAAUAGGCUUCACACCAGCCCUGUUUGUUUUCCACCAGGACAAUUUCCAAUAAACCUGAAAAACGUUUAGCUGGUUAUUCAAGCCCCCAUGGACCAAGCUCACUUGACAGCUGUCACUCAUCUCAUUCAGGUCCAGGAAAUGGAAAAGUAUUUGUUUUUUCUCAUGGGAGGCAAUCUACUAUUAGGGGCCAGGGUGUGGUGGGGGUGAAUUUCACUGGAUUUGGACAAUUACAUCUGAAAAGGCAUCGAAAGCCAUGAAUUUCUCUUUCAGAGCUUCACAUCCUGAAUUCACUGGUGCCAAGCUUUCUUUCUCACCCUUCCCGUCUUUAGCUUUUAUUUCAUAUAAAUUAUCCUGAAUUUCAAAGUUGGAAGGAAGCCCCGAGCCUAUCCCCUUUAAAAAAAAAAAAGCUUUGAUAAAUGGUCAUCUAGGUUUUGAUAUGGUGAGGGGAGGUCACUCACUACCCAUAAGGCAACCUAUUUCAACUUGUGCUAUUUAUAAUUGCAAGGAUGCUUUUCCUCACCCCUCUCUAAUCUCCCAGUAUCAGUCCUUAAGAGAAAAUUCACCAGAUCCUAGAUUUUGAGCCAGAAGAGUUCUUAGCUGUCAUCUAAUACCUUGAAUCAUUUUUAUAAAUGAAACACUCAAUGAUCAGAAAGGGAAAGGAAUUUGUCUAAGGUCACACAAGAUGAACCAGAGCCAGAAAUCAAACCCAUAUCCAAUCACUUAAAGCCCAGCAAGUUUUCUGCUCUAAUGAAUAGUUUCCUGAUUGCCCCGACGUCUUGGAAUUCCUCUUUGGCGUGAUUGAUGAUACUAAAUCUGAGAUUUGCCACUCUUUGGAAUGAUAGUGGCAAGAAUGAACCUAAAUCAUUCCAGACACUUUUCUCUGGUGUAUUUGAUCUGUGCAAGCCUGCUUCAAGCAUAGAGUAAACAACUUCCCCUAGAAAAACGAUGAUACUGCCUGGUCUGGCUAGCACUGGUGAUAUAGUGAAAAGAGUACAGCCUUGGAAUAAGAGAAUUGCUAUUCAAAUCCCACACUAUUCCAACACACUGUCUUCAGAUACACACUAUUUGAAGUUAUAAUUAUAACUUCAAAAUAUAAAUAUAAAUAAAAUAUAUAAAUAUAAAUAAAAAAA